UAAUACGCGCGUCCCUCCUCUUUGAUAUAGGUAAGGGGGAAAACCAAAUUUCCCAAAAUUUUGAAGUACCCUCCUUCCUCUACUUCUCUGCUCUCUCCUCUAGGUCACGAUUCACCUUGUGAACUAAGGCAUGCCGAAGAUUCCGCCUCUUUAUCUCCAUCGUCUUCGGCUUUGAUCUCUUCUUAAAAAAAGCGACGAUGAAUCUACCACGAGGCGUCACAAAAGCAACUGGAGUCAUCGAUACCGGUGGAGCACCGAAAGAAACUGUUCUAGAAGAGAGAAAGAGAAGAGGAGAGAGAGUUGGAAGAUAAAGAAAAGAGAUAAAGUGACAAAUAUAGAAGGAAAAGGAGCAGUAGUUGAAGAUGAAAUCGAGAAGGCAAAAGGAGGGGUUCAGAUUAGAGACAAAUUCACUUUUUGCUUUCAAUUUCAUAUACGUCUCUCUAAAAUCGUUUGUGGAGCCAAUUAUUAUAGGGAUCGAAGAAAAUCGCAAUUCUAGGGUUUUUUUUCACACAUCUGGUUCGAGAUCAAUUUCUCCAUUGCUCUCUCUGUCUCACUCUCAAAACAUCAAAUAAUUUAUCAAUUUCUCCUAGGUUUCCAUCUUUCAUCUUGUUUCACAAAAUAGACGAUUGGCCGAAGAACUAGGGCUUUUGAUGAAUCGGACAUCACCAACAACGAUAGCUACCCAUCACAAUUUGUGUUUUCUCUCGAACUCCACCGUUUCAACAUCGCACCACAAUACCAGCCUUGAGCCACCACCACACUGCCUUCGCAACAUCCCAAAACCACCACUACACCACCACAGGGCUUUCCACAAACCCUAAAAAGUCGCAAUCAGUUGUCGCUUAACAGAUUUAAGAGCUUUGGUUGUUAUGGAUAUUGUCGAUGUUUCCUCUUCUACUAUCAACUCUCUCAUCUCCAACCAACUUCAACCUAAACGUGCCUCCCACCUCUGAUCAGAUCUUCCAGCAGCAGAGAUCAGCCAAUAUAAAACUUGUAUUUUCCUCCUUUUGGCUCUCAUUCCUUGUUGUUGCAGCAAGAGCAGAAAAAUCAAAGUAUAGGUGGCUUUCCUCAAGAUCAGGUUGCUCUACAAAGUCACCAUUUGAAGAAAAAUUUCUCUCACAACAACCUCAAGCUUCAACUGGAUGGGCAAAUUUUCUAUGUGUAUGUUCUGUUUUCUCAUAUGGAUUUAUUCAGCUCCACUGGUCUGAAUGGCCACUAAAUCAAAGUGGCACAUCUGAAUGAUAUUGCACAAGCAAAGGCCUCUUGGGAGUUGGGCAUAGUGGGAUUUUGACAGCUCAUGCAAUCAUGACAGAUUCAGGAGCUUUACAUGUGGCAGGAGUCCCAAUUGUGAACCCAUCUACUGUUGUUGUUCGGGAGGUGAACCUAAUUGUGAACCCAUCAAUACAAUGUUGCUUUAUUUUAAUGUGGAAUUGAAUAUGGUUUAUCUGAAGUUAAAUUAAAAUUGUUGGAAUCCUGGUAAAAGGCAUAUUGGUUCUAAUGUUGAUUUUAUGGACAUUAAGUGGUUGUGCCAGAUUACAGGUGCAUAAAGAUGCAACAACAGAAAAUAGUAGGUGAACGCUUAAUGACUUUGACAUUGGGAGGCCACUGGGGAGAGGAAAUUUUGGUCAUAUCUACAUAGCUAAGGAGAAGAUCUGGAGUUAUCUGGUGGAAGUGAAAGAAGUGAAAGAUAUUAAUGACUUUGUAUUGAGGUUUGACCAAUUUCAGUCUGCAUGUUGGGCAUUGACCAAGUCAUGGCUUAAUGUUCAAGUUGAUUUGGAGUUAUCUGGUGAAAGUGAAAGAAGUGAAGAUAUUAAUUAUGAAUCACUUCUUGGACCUGAAAAUUGGCCACUUCAAGUAUUAAACCAACAACAACGUGACCUUUCUGCCCUUCUUCAAAAGCUUCAUUCAAGUAAGUCUGUACAUAAAGUUGUAACUCGAGGGUGUAAGGAGCAACAUCGCCAGAUUGAGGGGGUAUUCCUCGUUUACUUGACCUUAUAUGGUCAUGGAUAUCUCCAUCAGGAGGCGAUGAAGAUAUUUUCAGGCCACAUGGCGACCCACAGAUGAUCCGUUUUGGGACACAUUUAGUUCUUGUGCUUCGUCAUAUACUUGCUGAUGAAAUGAAAGAUGCUUUCAAGGAGAAGACAAUGACUCUUGCUGAUCUUAUUCUUCGUCAUUUACUUUAUUUCUUUUAACUUGUUUGAACUUAAUAGGGGAAAAUAUGUAAUUUUCAGGUAUGCUAUGUUUCUUUUUUCAAAACAACAUGAAGAGUUGGUAGGAAUCUAUGCAUCUCAGCUUGCACGCCAUCGUUUCAUUAACCUUUUUUGUCCAUAUGAUGGAGUUAUGCUUGAAUGGCAGAGUACCUCCCGUUUCCCCUGGAGAUGAUUCAAAUGGUAGUUUUGAAAAAGGAAAGAGUAUGCAAGGAGGAUCCAGUGUCAUUAGAGAUUGGUACUGCUAUUAGAACAAUGUUACCGCAACAUGGUGGAGCUAAAGAUCCUGCACAGUUACUUAAUGAUCUUGCUGGUGAUGGGAUUACAAGGAGCUACCAAAAUCAUGGACAUGGAGGAGAGAAGGAAAUUAAGCAGUCUGGUGUGAACAAUGAGCAAUUCUAUGUUGUUGAUCAUAUUUGUGUUUUCUGAAAUAGAGCAGCCAUAUUAUUGCAUUAAUGGUGUUGUUCAAAUCCAACUCAAACAGUCCUAGGUGGAGCACCAACUUUGCGGUGAAGUUGAAAUACAAAGUCACCUUAGGCAUCCUAAUAUCCUUCGACUAUAUGGUUAUUUUUAUGAUAAGGUGUGUAAUGGCACAAACAAUCAAACUAAUUUGGUCAGUUUCACAAGUGGGAAUACUAUUGCUACUAAGCUACAUGGUGAAGUUGGGUGGCCAGAUAAAUCUGUUACUUGAUCAUCAAAGUUUUUUCAAACAUCAAAACCGUGUAGAUUCAAAACACCUUCCAAAUCCCACCUCUUUCAUUUGUAUAUUUGUUUUUUUUUUUGAAGCAUCUUCUUACUAUGGUUAACCAAAAUAUACUAAAGGAGAAAACAUCUAGUGGUAUGCUGGGUGUAAACAACGAACGGUGCACACUUCUUCACCUUCUUGGCUGUUGUCUUCUUUCACAAGCACAUCUUCAAUCAUCAUGGGGUUCUACUGAAAAGAAAGUUAAUGAAGCCGUUUCUUGCUUUUUUUUUAGGUUAAUUUGUUCGAAAUCUAACACUGCUGGAAGAAGAUCGUGGAUACUUUCAUUUGGACUUGGUUAUACAAAUAUGUUAUAUAGUUAGGGAAAACCUCUUAAUAACAAUGUACAAUUAGGUCCCCUUAAUACCAAUGUAUUACAAUGUAUUGUAUUUUUGUAUGACAUUAACUUUUGUGCAAUGUAUUAUAUUUUUUGUA
Lactuca sativa (garden lettuce) is the source of this 3384-nucleotide non-coding RNA. The record is from RefSeq and is a predicted model, not a curated record. Lineage: Eukaryota; Viridiplantae; Streptophyta; Magnoliopsida; Asterales; Asteraceae.